UACGUCGGGUGCGAGCGGGAAUCGGAAUUACUGGGCGUAAAGCGUGCGCAGGCGGAUUGUUAAGCAAGACGUGAAAUCCCCGGGCUUAACCUGGGAAUGGCGUUUUGAACUGGCAGUCUAGAGUGUGUCAGAGGGGGGUAGAAUUCCACGUGUAGCAGUGAAAUGCGUAGAGAUGUGGAGGAAUACCAAUGGCGAAGGCAGCCCCCUGGGAUAACACUGACGCGCAUGUACGAAAGCGUGGGUAGAACACAGGAGGAGAUACCCGCGGAGUCC
Molecule: ribosomal RNA, 273 nt
Filed under: uncultured bacterium
Lineage: Bacteria
Description: partial 16S ribosomal RNA
Rfam family: Bacterial small subunit ribosomal RNA
Source: RNAcentral